This 253-nucleotide ribosomal RNA is filed under the name uncultured bacterium. RNAcentral's name for it is "partial 16S ribosomal RNA". It matches the Rfam family "Bacterial small subunit ribosomal RNA", at positions 524 to 776 of the family's 1533-position model. The record is from RNAcentral.
UACGUAGGGUGCAAGCGUUGUCCGGAAUUAUUGGGCGUAAAGAGCUCGUAGGCGGUCUGUCGCGUCUGCUGUGAAAACUCGGGGCUUAACCCCGGGCCUGCAGUGGGUACGGGCAGACUAGAGUGCGGUAGGGGAGACUGGAAUUCCUGGUGUAGCGGUGAAAUGCGCAGAUAUCAGGAGGAACACCUGUGGCGAAGGCGGGUCUCUGGGCCGUAACUGACGCUGAGGAGCGAAAGCGUGGGGAGCGAACAGG